RNAcentral lists this small nuclear RNA (141 nucleotides) under Scophthalmus maximus (turbot). RNAcentral's name for it is "U4 spliceosomal RNA (ENSSMAG00000025687.1)". It matches the Rfam family "U4 spliceosomal RNA". From Rfam's summary of the family: U4 small nuclear RNA (U4 snRNA) is a component of the major U2-dependent spliceosome. The structure of U4 snRNA from yeast and human has been reported. U4 snRNA presents a k-turn RNA motif in the 5p-SL related to recognition of Snu13 protein. Lineage: Eukaryota; Metazoa; Chordata; Actinopteri; Pleuronectiformes; Scophthalmidae. The record is from RNAcentral.
AGCUUUGCGCAGUGGCAGUAUCGUAGCCUAUGAGGUUUAUCCGAGGCGUGAUUAUUGCUAGUUGAAAACUUUACCCAAUACCCCGCCUAGACGACUUGAAAUAUAGUCGGCGACGGCAAUUUUUGACGGUCUCUAUGGAGA